Fundulus heteroclitus (mummichog) is the source of this 186-nucleotide long non-coding RNA. RefSeq lists it as uncharacterized. The transcript has 2 exons. The record is from RefSeq and is a predicted model, not a curated record. NCBI's taxonomy places the organism in Eukaryota, Metazoa, Chordata, Actinopteri, Cyprinodontiformes, Fundulidae.
UGCAGGGUUGCAGGGGAGCUGAGGCCUAUCUCCAGCGAUCACUGGCAUCAUCUGACCUUUUUCAGUGGUUCUCCUGUGAUAACCUGUCAAGACGGAGAAAAACUCAUCAGUUCACCCAGAUCUGUCCAAGAACAAGCAGCCUGUAAUGAAAUAUGUGUGAGUGAAUAAAACAAUCUAUUUACCUAA